RNAcentral lists this unclassified non-coding RNA (238 nucleotides) under Hevea brasiliensis (rubber tree). The record is from RNAcentral. Lineage: Eukaryota; Viridiplantae; Streptophyta; Magnoliopsida; Malpighiales; Euphorbiaceae.
GACAGAUCAUCAUCGUUCACACAAGCUGAGAAAAGCAAUUUCAAUCACUUGAAUCGACUUCACUUCUCGCGAGUCGGGUGGAUGAUGCUUUAAAAAAUGUUUGCUCAAACCUAGCUCUACUCCAAAGCAACCGCUAUGUUUGGAACAUGUUUACUCAUCAUCUGUCUCAGUUUCUAUUCUGGAGGCGAAACUGCAAAUGAUCUUUUUCUCCUGUGUCCAAUUGAAGGUUGCUACUGCU